Molecule: ribosomal RNA, 497 nt
Filed under: uncultured bacterium
Lineage: Bacteria
Description: partial 16S ribosomal RNA
Rfam family: Bacterial small subunit ribosomal RNA
Source: RNAcentral
GAUGAACGCUGGCGGCGUGCCUAAUACAUGCAAGUCGAGCGAACGGACGAGAAGCUUGCUUCUCUGAUGUUAGCGGCGGACGGGUGAGUAACACGUGGAUAACCUACCUAUAAGACUGGGAUAACUUCGGGAAACCGGAGCUAAUACCGGAUAAUAUUUUGAACCGCAUGGUUCAAAAGUGAAAGACGGUCUUGCUGUCACUUAUAGAUGGAUCCGCGCUGCAUUAGCUAGUUGGUAAGGUAACGGCCUACCAAGGCAACGAUGCAUAGCCGACCUGAGAGGGGGAUCGGCCACACUGGAACUGAGCCACGGUCCAGACUCCUACGGGAGGCAGCAGUAGGGAAUCUUACGCAAUGGGCGAAAGCCUGACGGAGCAACGCCGCGCGAGUGAUGACGGUCUUCGGAUCGUGAAACUCUGUUAUUAGGGAAGAACAUAUGUGUAAGUAACUGUGCACAUAUUGACGGUACCUAAUAAGAAAGCCACGGCUAACUACGUG